This 194-nucleotide ribosomal RNA is filed under the name uncultured Gammaproteobacteria bacterium. RNAcentral's name for it is "partial 16S ribosomal RNA". It matches the Rfam family "Bacterial small subunit ribosomal RNA", at positions 338 to 524 of the family's 1533-position model. Lineage: Bacteria; Pseudomonadati; Pseudomonadota; Gammaproteobacteria. The record is from RNAcentral.
CCUACGGGAGGCAGCAGUGGGGAAUCUUGCGCAAUGGACGAAAGUCUGAUGCAGCCAUGCCGCGUGUAUGAAGAAGGCCUUCGGGUUGUAAAGUACUUUCAGCGGGGAGGAAGGGAGUAAAGUUAAUACCUUUGCUCAUUGACGUUACCCGCAGAAGAAGCACCGGCUAACUCCGUGCCAGCAGCCGCGGUAAU